RNAcentral lists this ribosomal RNA (503 nucleotides) under uncultured bacterium. Its description in RNAcentral is "partial 16S ribosomal RNA". It matches the Rfam family "Bacterial small subunit ribosomal RNA", at positions 30 to 523 of the family's 1533-position model. The record is from RNAcentral.
AUUGAACGCUGGCGGCAGGCUUAACACAUGCAAGUCGAGCGGGGUGAUGGUGCUUGCACUAUCACUUAGCGGCGGACGGGUGAGUAAUGCUUAGGAAUCUGCCUAUUAGUGGGGGACAACAUCUCGAAAGGGAUGCUAAUACCGCAUACGUCCUACGGGAGAAAGCAGGGGAUCACUUGUGACCUUGCGCUAAUAGAUGAGCCUAAGUCGGAUUAGCUAGUUGGUGGGGUAAAGGCCUACCAAGGCGACGAUCUGUAGCGGGUCUGAGAGGAUGAUCCGCCACACUGGGACUGAGACACGGCCCGGACUCCUACGGGAGGCAGCAGUGGGGAAUAUUGGACAAUGGGGAGAACCCUGAUCCAGCCAUGCCGCGUGUGUGAAGAAGGCCUUAUGGUUGUAAAGCACUUUAAGCGAGGAGGAGGCUCUUUUGGUUAAUACCCAAGAUGAGUGGACGUUACUCGCAGAAUAAGCACCGGCUAACUCUGUGCCAGCCGCCGCGGUAA